AUUGAACGCUAGCGGGAUGCUUUACACAUGCAAGUCGAACGAGUGGCGGACGGGUGAGUAAUAUAUCGGAACGUGCCCAGUAUCGGGGGCUAACUACUCGAAAGAGUGGCUACUACCGCAUACUAUUGGAGCGGCCGUUAUCGGAUUAGCUAGUUGGUGGGGUAAAGGCUCACCAAGGCAACGAUCCGUACCCGGUCUGAGAGGAAGACCAGCCACACUGGGACUGAGACACGGCCCAGACUCCUACGGGAGGCAGCAGUGGGGAAUUUUGGACAAUGGGGGAAAGCCUGACCCAGCAAUCCCGCGUGUAUGAGAAGGUCUUCGGGUUGUAAAGCACUGUUGGCAGAGAAGCGGUAUCUGCAGAAUAAGCACCGGCUAACUACGUGCCAGCAGCCGCGGUAAUAC
This 405-nucleotide ribosomal RNA is filed under the name uncultured bacterium. RNAcentral's name for it is "partial 16S ribosomal RNA". It matches the Rfam family "Bacterial small subunit ribosomal RNA", at positions 30 to 526 of the family's 1533-position model. The record is from RNAcentral.